CCCGCGAGGCUGCGUCCCCGACCCAGUCGGCGCCCCCUCCUCGCCCCGCGGGCUCGCGGCAACUGGGCGGCGGGCCCGGCCCCUGCCCACCCCCAGCCCAGCCCGGGCGCGCCGCACUGGGCAUGCUCCGUAGCCUGGGCAGGUUGGGGCUGCGAGGCGACAGCUCGGGCUCUGGAGCCGGGAGGCGAGAAAGAGGAGGGAGGCUCGGGGGCAGGGGAGGAGGGAGCGGCGGGCCGCGGAGGGGCGGCGGGGCCCGGAGCCGGGGACGCGCAGGGCCCGGCGGUGGGCGGGCGGGUCGGCGCUGUCCCGUGGGCUCUCCGAGGAGCCACAGCGGAGACCCCCGCCCUCAGCUGAGGAAAAGACGGUUUCUCUCUGAUACAGAAUCCUGAAAUGUGAUCUCCCUUAAAAAGAGGACAGUGCUGCUGUGAGUUUGACGAAGUGGACAUCACCUGCAGUUGGUCCAGAGC
This 467-nucleotide long non-coding RNA is filed under the name Piliocolobus tephrosceles (Ugandan red Colobus). RNAcentral describes it as "lncRNA (ENSPTEG00000002709.1)". Lineage: Eukaryota; Metazoa; Chordata; Mammalia; Primates; Cercopithecidae. The record is from RNAcentral.